GGCUACCGCUAUUGGAGUUCGAUUAAGCCAUGCGAGUCGAGAGUCUUAGGGACUCGGCGUACCGCUCAGUAACACGUGGGUAACCUGCCCUAUGCUGGGGAAUAACCUCGGGAAACUGAGAAUAAUGCCCCAUAGUUCACUACGCCUGGAACGGUGAGUGGAUGAAAGCUCCGGCGGCAUAGGAUGGGCCUGCGGCGUAUCAGGUCGUAGGGGGUGUAACGUACCCUCUAGCCAUCGACGCGUACGGGUGUUGGGAGACAUAGCCCGGAGAUGGAUUCUGAGACACGAAUCCAGACCCUACGGGGUGCAGCAGGCGCGAAAACUUGGCAAUGCGAGAAAUCGUGACCAGGGAACUCCAAGUGGCUGGGGUAAGACCCAGUCUUUUCUUGACUCUUCAAAGGUCUUGGAAUAAGAGGUGGGUAAGGACGGUGCCAGCCGCCGCGGUAAUACCGGCGCCUCAAGUGGUAGUCGAUUUUAUUGGGCCUAAAACGUCCGUAGCCUGUUUGGUACAUUCGUGGGUAAAUCAACCAGCUCAACUGGUUGAAUUCUGCGAGCACGGCCAGACUUGGGACCGGGAGAGGUGUGGGGUACGCUCCGGGUAGGGGUAAAAUCCUGUCAUCCCGAGCGGACCACCUGUUGCGAAGGCGCCACACUAGAACGGAUCCGACGGUCAGGGACGAAGCCUAGGGGCACGAACCGGAUUAGAUACCCGGGUAGUCCUAGGUGUAAACGCUGUGGACUUGGUGUUGGGGAUUCCCCGAGGAUUCUCAGUGCCGAAGCGAAGGUGAUAAGUCCACUGCCUGGGGAGUACGGUCGCAAGGCUGAAACUUAAAGGAAUUGGCGGGGGAGCACCGCAACCUGAGGAUUGUGCGGUUU
This 876-nucleotide ribosomal RNA is filed under the name uncultured archaeon. RNAcentral describes it as "bacterial SSU rRNA". It matches the Rfam family "Archaeal small subunit ribosomal RNA", at positions 22 to 903 of the family's 1478-position model. The record is from RNAcentral.